CCAAAAACAUCACCUCUAGCAUUACUAGUAUUAGAGGCACUGCCUGCCCAGUGACACGAGUUAAACGGCCGCGGUAUUCUGACCGUGCAAAGGUAGCAUAAUCAUUUGUUCUAUAAAUAAGGACUUGUAUGAAUGGCCACACGAGGGUUUUACUGUCUCUUACUUCCAAUCGGUGAAAUUGACCUUCCCGUGAAGAGGCGGGAAUAUAACAAUAAGACGAGAAGACCCUAUGGAGCUUUAAUUAACUAACCCAAUAGAAUCUAUUCAAUUAACCAAUAUGGGACAAAGUAAUUCUACAGUGGGACAGCAAUUUAGGUUGGGGCGACCUCGGAGUAUAACACAACCCCCGAGUGAUAUAAAUCUAGACAUACCUGUCAAAACGAACUAUCAUAAAUUGAUCCAAAAAUUUUUGAUCAACGGAACAAGUUACCCUAGGGAUAACAGCGCAAUCCUAUUCAAGAGUUCAUAUCGACAAUAGGGUUUACGACCUCGAUGUUGGAUCAGGACAUCCCAAUGGUGCAGCAGCUAUUAAAGGUUCGUUUGUUCAACGAUUAAAGUCCUACGUGAUCUGAGUUCAGACCGGAGUAAUCCAGGUCGGUUUCUAUCUAUUAACCAGUCUCUCCCAGUACGAAAGGACAAGAGAGACAAGGCCCACUUCGACGAAGCGCCUUAGGACUAAUAUAUGACAUAAUCUUAAUAUAACCAGUUCAACUACACUAUUCAACCCGAGAACAGGGUUU
This 740-nucleotide ribosomal RNA is filed under the name Odobenus rosmarus divergens (Pacific walrus). RNAcentral describes it as "partial 16S ribosomal RNA". It matches the Rfam family "Bacterial large subunit ribosomal RNA", at positions 1807 to 2853 of the family's 2925-position model. The record is from RNAcentral. Lineage: Eukaryota; Metazoa; Chordata; Mammalia; Carnivora; Odobenidae.